UCUCCCCUCCUCGCUCUCGGGAUGCUCGCGGCCUCGGUCUUGUCCCGGCUCUGAAUCGUCUCCUGUUGUUGCUCUCAUAGAGGUGAAGACGCAGGAAGACAGGAUAAACCCCAUGGAAGAAUGCAAAGGAGCGCAGGGCUCCGCGAGCCUACCUGGAGAAAGCUCUUACCAGGAGCAUGCUGACCUCAUCUGUAAAAACUACAAAUCAAAUUAAAGAACUUGGAAGACCUA
Molecule: non-coding RNA, 231 nt
Organism: Oryctolagus cuniculus (rabbit)
Lineage: Eukaryota; Metazoa; Chordata; Mammalia; Lagomorpha; Leporidae
Source: RefSeq, a predicted model, not a curated record